This 739-nucleotide small RNA is filed under the name Pan troglodytes (chimpanzee). RNAcentral's name for it is "retained intron". Lineage: Eukaryota; Metazoa; Chordata; Mammalia; Primates; Hominidae. The record is from RNAcentral.
UGCCUCAAGUGGACAGCGCAGGUCAGCGGGCGUGGGGGCGGUGUUCUGUGGGCUGGGGAGGAGGUCAAAGGCAGCGCCUGGCACUGAACAGCCUUCUGACUUUCAUUGCAGUGGUCGCCGAGUUUGGGCGGAUUGCUGUGGAAUUCCUGAGACGCGGCGCAAACCCAAAAAUCUACGAAGGCGCCGCCAGAAAACUCAAUGUGAGUAGUGACACUGUCCAGCAUGGUGUGGAAGGAUUAACGUAUCUCCUCACUGAGAGCUCAAAGCUCAUGAUUUCUGAACUGGAUUUCCAAGACUCUGUUUUUGUUCUGGGAUUCUCUGAAGAAUUAAACAAAUUGUUGCUUCAGCUUUAUCUGGACAACAGAAAAGAGAUCAGAACGAUUCUGAGUGAAUUGGCACCAAGCCUUCCCAGUUAUCAUAACCUUGAAUGGCGACUAGAUGUACAGCUUGCAAGUAGAAGUCUCAGGCAACAGAUUAAACCAGCAGUGACUAUAAAGCUACACCUUAAUCAAAAUGGAGAUCACAACACCAAAGUUCUACAGACAGACCCAGCCACCCUGCUCCAUUUGGUUCAACAACUGGAACAAGCAUUGGAAGAGAUGAAGACAAACCACUGUAGGAGAGUUGUUCGCAACAUCAAGUAGUACCAGUUUUAAGGUUUUAAUUCAUUUGAAUCACUUAUGAAUUGAUGAUAUACAGCAAUUACUUUUCAAAAUUAAUUUUUUAUUAAUUCAUGACA